This is a long non-coding RNA of Tachysurus fulvidraco (yellow catfish), 998 nucleotides long. RefSeq lists it as uncharacterized. The transcript is spliced from 3 exons. NCBI's taxonomy places the organism in Eukaryota, Metazoa, Chordata, Actinopteri, Siluriformes, Bagridae. The record is from RefSeq and is a predicted model, not a curated record.
CCUUCCUUCCUUCCUUUCUUCUUCUUCUUCUUCUUCUUCUUCUUCUUCUUCUUCUUCUCUGAUUUACAGAAUCUUUCCUUCCCUUGCUGUGAUCCUUAAGUCUUUAUAAAUAAACGAAUAAAUAGAUGAAAUGUAAACUGAAGUUAAUUGGAGGUCAGCGUGCGAUUUCCUGACGUGGAGAUAAUGAAUAAACCCCUCGACGUAAAUCACUUCACAACCUUCUCACACCUCCAGCUGCAACGCACACCGACGACGAGAAACGAGACGUCGCCACGAUGCCUCCAAAUGCAGGGAUAGAAGACAGACGGGCAUCAAAGGGUCACCACAAAGGAUCAUCUGGCUUGUGAUCGUACUGAAAGUCAGGUCUUCAUUGGCUGGACUUCAUUGGUGAGAGCAAAGGAUCCUGUUGCUGGACCACUAGGAGGCUUAGACAGGCAACUAAAAUACAACUAAAUGCAACUAAAAUCCAUCUCUAAAUUGUUUGGAGUGAACGAAAGCUUGUCCCCACAGUCCUCUGGGAUAGACUCCAGGUCCCUGAGACUCUGUAUAGUAUAAACACAAGAGACAUGGAUGGAGGGAUAGUUGGCUGAAUGGAUGGAUGGAUAGACGAACGGACGAGAGCUGAAACGUUUCCUUUCCCAUGUUUAUCCAACUCUCUCGUCCGUUUGGGGGAACGUUCCAGAAAUGAUUUAAGUUCUCUACUAGGAAAACAUGUCCAUAUGCUCGUGCAGACUCGUAGAGCUUUUUCUCCACAAAACGACACCCAUGACGAGAUAAAGCCUCCUCCGGUGAGGCGUCCAAGACAAACUUUGGGAACUCAAUGGGAUUUGAGAAGUCUUAAAUAAAAGAUCCACACAGGAGGACAUAGAAAUUCAUCUGCAGAAUAAAUGUUGUUUUUUUUUUUUUACCGUGGUCUAAAUUUGCUUAGAUUGAAGAGUGAUAAGUUUUGUCGUGGACAUUUUGAGGAUUGAGAGAUUUAAAGUAUAAACAGGGGCAGU